UCGAUUUACCUUCGGGUAUUGAGGAUGGCGGACGGGUGAGUAACGCGUAAGGAACUUGCCUCUUGGUCUGGGACAACUGUUGGAAACGACAGCUAAUACCGGAUAUUAUGAGAUUCUCGCAUGGGAAACUUAUGAAAGCUAUAUGCGCCAAGAGAGAGCCUUGCGUUCCAUUAGCUAGUUGGUGGGGUAACGGCCCACCAAGGCGACGAUGGAUAGCCGGCCUGAGAGGGUGAACGGCCACAAGGGGACUGAGACACGGCCCUUACUCCUACGGGAGGCAGCAGUGGGGAAUAUUGGACAAUGGGCCACAAGCCUGAUCCAGCAAUUCUGUGUGCACGAUGAAGGUCUUCGGAUUGUAAAGUGCUUUCAGUUGGGAAGAAGAAAGUGACGGUACCAACAGAAGAAGCGACGGCUAAAUACGUGCCAGCAGCCGCGGUAAUACGUAUGUCGCAAGCGUUAUCCGGAUUUAUUGGGCGUAAAGCGCGUCUAGGCGGAAAAAUAAGUCUGAUGUUAAAAUGCGGGGCUCAACUCCGUAUUGCGUUGGAAACUGUUUUUCUAGAGUACUGGAGAGGUGGGCGGAACUACAAGUGUAGAGGUGAAAUUCGUAGAUAUUUGUAGGAAUGCCGAUGGAGAAGUCAGCUCACUGGACAGAUACUGACGCUAAAGCGCGA
This 671-nucleotide ribosomal RNA is filed under the name uncultured bacterium. Its description in RNAcentral is "bacterial SSU rRNA". It matches the Rfam family "Bacterial small subunit ribosomal RNA", at positions 69 to 756 of the family's 1533-position model. The record is from RNAcentral.